RNAcentral lists this transfer RNA (69 nucleotides) under Ictidomys tridecemlineatus (thirteen-lined ground squirrel). RNAcentral's name for it is "Spermophilus tridecemlineatus (thirteen-lined ground squirrel) tRNA". It matches the Rfam family "tRNA". Rfam says of the family: Transfer RNA (tRNA) molecules are approximately 80 nucleotides in length. Their secondary structure includes four short double-helical elements and three loops (D, anti-codon, and T loops). Lineage: Eukaryota; Metazoa; Chordata; Mammalia; Rodentia; Sciuridae. The record is from Rfam by way of RNAcentral.
GGGGUUGUAGCUCAGUAGUGGAGCACUUGCCUAAAAUGCAUGAGGUCCUGGGUUUGAUCCUCAGCACCA